This 790-nucleotide ribosomal RNA is filed under the name uncultured archaeon. RNAcentral describes it as "bacterial SSU rRNA". It matches the Rfam family "Archaeal small subunit ribosomal RNA", at positions 4 to 771 of the family's 1478-position model. The record is from RNAcentral.
CCGGUUGAUCCUGCCGGACCCGACUGCUAUCGGAUUGAGAUUUAGCCAUGCGAGUCGAACGUCCCCCUGUUGCGGGGGGCGUGGCGUACGGCUCAGUAACACGUAGUCAACCUGCCCUGGAGACAAGGACAACCCCGGGAAACUGGGAUUAAUCCUUGAUAGGUCAUCUCAUCUGGAAGGAGAGAUGGCUUAAAGGGGUACGCGGGCUUCUUCCGCGAAUUCGCUCCAGGAUGGGACUGCGUCCGAUCAGGCUGUUGGCGGGGUAAUGGCCCACCAAACCUGUAACCGGUACGGGCCUUGAGAGAGGUGGCCCGGAGAUGGACACUGAGAGAAGGGUCCAGGUCCUACGGGGCGCAGCAGGCGCGAAACCUUCGCAAUGCGCGAAAGCGUGACGAGGUUAAUCCGAGUGACUUCCGCUGAGGAGGUCUUUUGUCAGCUGUAAAUAGGCAGGCGAAUAAGGGGAGGGCAAGCCUGGUGUCAGCCGCCGCGGUAAUACCAGCUCCUCGAGUGGUCGGGGCGAUUAUUGGGCCUAAAGCAUCCGUAGCCGGUUCCGUAGGUCCUCUGUUAAAUCCAACCGCUCAACGGUUGACCUGCAGAGGAUACCGCGGGACUAGGAGGCGGGAGAGGCGGACGGUACUCCGCGUGUAGGGGUAAAAUCCUUUGAUCCGCGGAAGACCACCAGUGGCGAAGGCGGUCCGCCAGAACGCGCUCGACGGUGAGGGAUGAAAGCUGGGGGAAGCGAACGGAUUAGAUACCCGGGUAGUCCCAGCCGNUAACGAUGCUAGCUAGA